This is a long non-coding RNA of Pundamilia nyererei, 767 nucleotides long. RefSeq lists it as uncharacterized. The transcript has 3 exons. NCBI's taxonomy places the organism in Eukaryota, Metazoa, Chordata, Actinopteri, Cichliformes, Cichlidae. The record is from RefSeq and is a predicted model, not a curated record.
GUAACCUCACAGAGAGAAGCUGUGAGGCUCUUUCCUCAAUUCUAAGUUCUCAGUCCUCCAGACUGAGAGAGCUGGACAUGAGUAACAACAACCUACAGGACUCAGGAGUGAAGCUGCUUUGUGUUGGACUUGGGAGUCCACACUGUGUGCUGGAAACUCUCAGGCUGUCAGGCUGUCAGAUCACAGGAACAGGCUUCCCCUCUCUGGACACAGCUGUGCGCUCCAAUCCCUCCUAUUUGAAAGAGCUGGACUUGAGCUAUAAUCAUCCAGGAGACUCAGGAAUGAAGCUUUUGUCUGAUCUAAAGAAGGAUCCACAUGUGAAACUGGACAUACUCUGUGUGGAGCCUCAAGGAGUCCAGUGGAUGAGACCAGGUCUAAGAAAAUGUAAGUGUGUUUUUGAUUUACUAGCUGUAUUUACAUCAUUUUUUCACACAUUAUAUGUAUCUCUGCUAAAUAUCUUUUAUCAUAUAUUUUAUAAAAAAUUGUUUCAGUUAUUUAAUUCCACAACUAAAAACCCAUUUUUGAUAAACUCUUAAAACAUCACAAAGUUUUGCAUACUGGUUUUUCUUCUUCAUAAACUAACGUGAAAACCAAUUAAUCCCUUUCUUCAUUAUCUGGUGAAGAAACGUGGCCACAUAGUCAACUAGAAUUUUCUAUUCAGAUAUAAUUUUGCUAGUGGUAAGAUUGGCAUGGCUAGAGGAACAGCUGUAACAGCGCCAACCUCGUGAUUAGUUUAUAAUAUUUGGUGCAAAAUCAAAGUUACCAGA